This 133-nucleotide small RNA is filed under the name Salmonella enterica. RNAcentral's name for it is "RtT sRNA". It matches the Rfam family "RtT RNA". Rfam says of the family: This family represents a bacterial cis-regulatory element known as RtT RNA. The record is from RNAcentral. Lineage: Bacteria; Pseudomonadati; Pseudomonadota; Gammaproteobacteria; Enterobacterales; Enterobacteriaceae. RNAcentral also lists the same sequence under 1 other name.
GUAUCUGAAGUCUGACGAGGAUGAGAACCUCCGGGGGCAAGAGGUUCGACUCGAGCGAAGCGAGAGAACGUUGCGUCAGCAACGGCCCGCAGGGCGAGCCACGCAGUGGCGAGUCAUCCUCUAUCACCGACCA